Non-coding RNA from Caenorhabditis elegans, 83 nucleotides. NCBI's taxonomy places the organism in Eukaryota, Metazoa, Nematoda, Chromadorea, Rhabditida, Rhabditidae. The record is from Ensembl.
UAUUUUGAAGUUUUCAACACAUUUUCACUGCCUCCGUGAGAUCCAUGAAGAUUGGACACAAUGCACGCAUCACGAUCGGGAUC